CGUCCUCAACAUCAAGAAUACGUCCACCUACAGGUGUUGUUGUGCCCCAGGGUUGUUCUUAGUGGUGAUGGCCUGCUAAUUAUUUGACCAAGAAAUCAAUUUAACACCGGUGGUGGCUACCUACGAUUUGAUACAAAAACCAUGUUUUGCAUACCGAAAUAUUGUGUGCGGGUGAAGCGCUAGAUGCGGGUCAAUUAUGAUCGCAUGGGACUCCGAACUCACAGGUUUAUCUCUCCCUACUAAUCCAGAUGCAUCUCCAUAGUCAUUUUGCCCUCCACAAUUUUAUUUCAUAAAAGGUCAAGGCCAAGGUAAAAGUGCAGCCAAACUCCUCCUAUCUGAUUUAGCCCCUAGAAGCUAGAACAUCUCACCUUUGCUUAUGCAAAUCUGUUUUGUAUAUGACUAGGUGUUCGAUUAAAAUCCUUGCUAAGAUAUGUUAUAUUUAUGCUCCACCGUACCAGGAUGUUAAGGAGAGAGAUUUCAUGUGAGCUUAUAUUCUAUACUUCUAUCCCUUCUCACUGACAAUGAAUGUGUUGUUCUUCCUGGUUCAGCUAGGCAUGAAGCACCAUUAUCCCUAGAAGCUUUUGGGAAUGUCUUGGCCAAUACAGGCUGUGAUAAGAUGUGUGACUAACUAUGUCCAGAAGUUUUCGUGUAUCUAUUGAAGUAUUUAUCAUAUUUAUUUAAUUCUAAUAUCUUUCUAUCAUGUGCAGUUUCAAUUUGCUACAGAUUUUUCCACUUCAACUGUUAUGCAAACCUUUUUGGCUGAGGGAAUAUUUUGGAAAUAUGUGCAGUCAGGUUCAUCAAAGAGAAGCGAGGAAACCAAGCCAAGGAGACACGCCACUGUGCGGGAGCAUGUCUCCGAUUGCUUGACUAUGAUUCUGUAUUGUAUGGAUAUCCUCUUCAUGUAUUAUUCUAUGUCGAUCUCGACAAAGUGUAGCAUUGCACUGGUGGUGUAAAAUCUGCAGUUUACUUGGCAUAAAGAUUUCAGAUUGUUGACCUUUUGCAGGCUGCAGGUACGUAUCCUCCCCACAAAAAGGAACAUGCAACUAUUUGAUCUAUGAAAGAAAGCACAUUAUGAGCUCCCUUUUUUUUACAAAAGUUUCUUAGUAGAAAGAGUUAAGGAAAUUGGUUAAUCAUAGAACAAUGGCUGAACCAGGAAAUUGGUUAAUCAUAGUUCAUUGGCUGAACCGAUAAAGAUGAUUUGUUAAAACAAUGUCCAUGCUGGUGGCAUGGUUAGUCGCUUCUAAGAGGUGUAUAUGUAAGUGUUUCUCUGAAUUGUGCACCUUGGCUGACCGCCGACGGCCAACGGAUUUUAAAUUAAGGGGCUGAUUAAAUGUUAAUUAAAUGAUAAGGACUUGAUUGGGCCACACCUGACUACGCUACUGCCGAUCAAGUCCACAAAGGUGCAAAAGGAAAAUGUUUGUGUCGUGUGUGUGAUCUCUACAAUCCUAAUAUUAGGCGUCGUGGAGGGCUGCCCAAGAAAGAGAAUGCAAGACACAUGAUAUAUUGUGCUAUUUUCCUCUUCAUUGUCAACUAAUAAUAUUUCCCUAUAUCCAGUAAAAUGAGAAUAAUUAUUCACUCUUUAUUUAAUGCUUGCUUAUCACAUUGGCACAAGUUUUCUGACUGCUCUAUUUACUCUCUAUGCCAGUUUUAUUCACUCUCUAUGCCAGUUUUAUUCGUUCAUGUCAAUGGCCUGGCCAUAACCAUUAUGUGUUACAGCUCGGUUGACGGCUAUUUUUUUUCUCCUACUUGUUUUUUUUUUGGUAAUGUCAUGUAUAUAUCAUAGUCUAGGAAAAACCUAGCCGGCAUGAACUAGAAUGUGUAUGCACUGUGUUUCGGCAACCAUGUGGCUUGAUCUCUAUAUGUUUCCCUCUUUUCAUUACUAUUGCACAUAUCAUUGAUUGUGUUCUUUGUCAUAUGUAGAAUUGGUCCAAAACUAAGUUCAUUUCUUGUAAUGAAAAAUCAUUAAAUUACUGUCUGAAAAUAAGUACAUUUUCAUUUGUUUUAUCAAUGGAUGAAUCUCCAGACUUGGGUUUCCAAUUAUGCUAUAUAUCCAACUGAAAAUAUUUCUUUGGUAAAUUCAUGCUUGACUUUCUUAGGAAGGCAUUGUUGUGUAAACAUGGAAGCUUACUUUCUGUGCAGGUAAGAAAAGUGUCCUAUUCUUCCAUGGAAUGUGCGCUGGUGUUCAAAUGUGUGGGUGUUCAGAUGCAAGCUUCAUAAUCUCUACGUGAUAUGUAUGUAGGCUUUUUUUUUUGGAGCGAAACUACAUUCUAGGGAAUUGGCUUCAGAGAUCUACAGAUAUUCAGCGCUCAAGCUUCCCGCAGCAAUUGAUGCAGUUGCUGAUACAUCUUAUUUAGAGCAAUCAAGUUGUCCUGCAUUGGUUACAACUCUUAGAUUGGUUCGAUUUGUGAGGGCAUGGCAGCGGUGGGUGUGGGCGUGAGCCUGGUGCCGCUCGGGGUACAUGAGUUCUAGGAGGACCUGCUGCGGGCUCGCCGCUGCGUGCACAUGUUGCGGGAGGGGCACCAGGUGGCCAGGAUUGUGACCAUGUGUGAGGGGGUUCAAAACUAGAGCAUGGACCUCAUCUCCUUGUUGCCGCAAUAACUUACCCUAAAAUGUAUUAUUGCUCUUGAUAUUCUUGUUCAAUAUUUUAGCAAGUGCUCUUCCUCAUAUGUUGAAGUUGCAUCAUAUUUUUGGUUUUCUGAAUACCUCUCUUCUUGCUCAUAACAAGUUCAUGGAGUUAAUUUUUUCUAUGAAAAUGGUGGUCUUGAGAAAUGCUUGAAUAUGGUGCGAUAAUGCACUGGCUAUGUAGAUGAUGAUUUUGAGGCUCCUUCCUUCUUUUUGUUGCUCGUGCAG
Non-coding RNA from Lolium perenne, 2850 nucleotides. NCBI's taxonomy places the organism in Eukaryota, Viridiplantae, Streptophyta, Magnoliopsida, Poales, Poaceae. The record is from RefSeq and is a predicted model, not a curated record.